This 443-nucleotide long non-coding RNA is filed under the name Heterocephalus glaber (naked mole-rat). RNAcentral describes it as "lncRNA (ENSHGLG00000031494.2)". The record is from RNAcentral. Lineage: Eukaryota; Metazoa; Chordata; Mammalia; Rodentia; Bathyergidae.
GACUCGCAUGAGACCCUGCAGCGAGCUCUAGACCUUGGACUGAAUACUUCAGUCUCCAGUGUGCAAACAGACCCUCUGCAGUCUUCCACACCCAGCUCUGUGGGUGGCCAUUGUGGGAAACUGCAUUAAGGAAUUAUCUAUGGUCCCACGAAGAGGCUGUGAAAGACCCACAGCUGGAACUCAAAUGUGAGACUCUUAUCACUCCUCCACAUCUGCUUUGUCCUUUGCACUUUAACAUUAUUAAUUUCCAUGGUCCUAUUGUAGCUUUGUUAGCAACACAAAAUGUCACUAAAUGUGCACAAAGCAUGAAAAUACACCUCCCCCCAAAAAAACGAAAAGAAAAAAAAGAAAAUACAUCCCACAGUUUAAUAAUAUAAAAUUGUGAGAUGGACUAAAUUGUAAUAGAUUUACAUCCUAAAGGACCAUAAUUAGCAUGAGUUAAU